RNAcentral lists this ribosomal RNA (506 nucleotides) under uncultured bacterium. RNAcentral describes it as "partial 16S ribosomal RNA". It matches the Rfam family "Bacterial small subunit ribosomal RNA", at positions 29 to 523 of the family's 1533-position model. The record is from RNAcentral.
AGUGAACGCUGGCGGUAGGCCUAACACAUGCAAGUCGAACGGCAGCACAGGAGAGCUUGCUCUCUGGGUGGCGAGUGGCGGACGGGUGAGGAAUACAUCGGAAUCUACUCUGUCGUGGGGGAUAACGUAGGGAAACUUACGCUAAUACCGCAUACGACCUACGGGUGAAAGCAGGGGAUCUUCGGACCUUGCGCGAUUGAAUGAGCCGAUGUCGGAUUAGCGAGUUGGCGGGGUAAAGGCCCACCAAGGCGACGAUCCGUAGCUAGUCUGAGGGGAUGAUCGGCAACACUGGAACUGAGACACGGUCCAGACUCCUACGGGAGGCAGCAGUGGGGAAUAUUGGACAAUGGGCGAAAGCCUGAUCCAGCCAUACCGCGUGGGUGAAGAAGGCCUUCGGGUUGUAAAGCCCUUUUGUUGGGAAAGAAAUCCAGCUGGCUAAUACCCGGUUGGGAUGACGGUACCCAAAGAAUAAGCACCGGCUAACUUCGUGCCAGCAGCCGCCGUAA